UGUAUUAAGGAAUCGUUGAAGGAGCUAUAUCCAAUAUCUUAUGAGAACAAGAUAUUGGGUAUAGCUCCCCCGCCAAUGAAUAACAAGUAUCCAUUUUUUUAUUCCAAAUUAACGACGAGAUUUAUUAUCGUUUCUCGCAUGUCUCGCGAAAGUCAGAGUAGGCGCGAAUUCUCCCAAUUUGUGACCUACCAUACGAUCUGUUAUAUAAAUAGGUAAAUGUUCCUUUCCAUUAUGAAUAGCGAUUGUAUGGCCAAUCAUUUUGGGUAUAAUAGUAGAUGCCCGAGACCAAGUUACUAUUAUUUCUUUCUCCUCCCUCAUGUUGAGUUUUUCAAUUUUUUUUUCCAUUUUAAAGAUUGCCAUUCUAUGUCCAAUAGAAUAUCUCGAUCUAAGUAUGAAGGUAAGAAAUAAAUACCAUAAUGAUGAAAGGGAAAAAAGAAAAAAUCCUUU
RNAcentral lists this unclassified non-coding RNA (447 nucleotides) under Lomandra filiformis. RNAcentral's name for it is "partial miscellaneous RNA". Lineage: Eukaryota; Viridiplantae; Streptophyta; Magnoliopsida; Asparagales; Asparagaceae. The record is from RNAcentral.